Long non-coding RNA from Suricata suricatta (meerkat), 955 nucleotides. RefSeq lists it as uncharacterized. The transcript is spliced from 2 exons. Lineage: Eukaryota; Metazoa; Chordata; Mammalia; Carnivora; Herpestidae. The record is from RefSeq and is a predicted model, not a curated record.
AGGCUCUGACACGGCCCGGGGCACCGCCCAUCUGAUGUCCACGACGACGUGGACCGGAUGCUGCCCUUCGGGUCUCUCCCAGUGCAAGCGAGGACCCUUCUGCGUCAGCCUCGUGUCUGCCCAGUGCGAGGAGCGUGGUGCGGUCAGGAGCUGCUCUCUCCCUCCGCCGCCUGUACCCGCGUUGCCACGAGCUGUCUUUCUAGGGCGGAGCGCAGCCGCUGUCCUGUGGCUUUCACGUGUGGCUUUCCAACCUCCGGGGCAGCUGGAAAAGAGGGCAGGUGUGCGAGCUGGCACCUCAGGCUGGCUGCAAGGGCUCAGGAGGCCACUCCGGUCUGGGCUUCAGGUACCUCGGCCAGCAUGGCCAUUCUGAACGGGCGCCUGGCCCCCCUGGGGCUCACCCACCUUAGUUGAUGUUUAAAAGCUUUGCUCCCAACGCCUUAUGGAUUCCUGGCAAGCCCGGCAGGUCCGUGAGAGAACAGUUGAUGGGAACGAGCCCAGAGGAGGAGCCACAGGAAUUUGUGAAACGUCUCGGGGGCUCGUGGACAUGCGUUUAAGUUUGCUACAGUGUCAGUCAGCAGCCCCCCUGGUGCCCCCAUGGGCACUGUGCGCGGUGGAAGGUUUCCGUGCCGAGUGUUAACGUGCCAGGCCCCUAGUUGUGCAAACUCCCCUCUCCCUCUUGCCGAGCUUUUCUGAAGAUCUGCCUCAGGAUGAGCCUGAACCGCCUUACGUUUCUGCUGCUGCUGCUCCUUUUUGCGAACGGGAAGGGAGCCGCUGUCUGCCAGGAGAGGGUGGGCAGGCGAGGAGCGGGGCCUCGGCUGCAAGUGUGCGGAUGAAAUAAGCUGUGGGCCCCGGCCAAAAAGGGCUUUGCAUCAGAGCGUCCUGAAACUGCCCCGUCUCUGUCUCUCAGUCUGGUUCUGCACCCUGGUAAUAAAGACACUCCGAGGAGUUGAAGGGA